Long non-coding RNA from Cyprinus carpio (common carp), 1275 nucleotides. The record is from Ensembl. Lineage: Eukaryota; Metazoa; Chordata; Actinopteri; Cypriniformes; Cyprinidae.
AUGUUCUCCACCUCCAUUGUCAACGUGGUCACUCUGAGCUGUGGCCGUAAGGUCUCUGGUGCCUGUCGAGGCAGCAAUCCCCGAACCCGGUGGUGGACACCGGAAGUAAGCGAUGCCGUCAAGCUGAAGAAGCAGUCCUACCAGGCCUGGCUGGCUUGUGGGACUCCUGAGGCAGCUGACGGGUACCAGCAGGCCAACCGGGCUUGCAGUCGGGUGGUUGAGGAGGCAAAAAAUUGGGUCUGGGAGGAGUUUGGUGAGGCCAUGGAGAAAGACUAUCGGUUGACUGGAGGGUGUGUUCCAACUACGGGGGAUCACACUCCUCAGCCUUCCUGGGAAAGUCUAUGCCAGGGUACUGGAGAGGAGAAUUUGGCCGAUAGUCGAACCUUGGAUUCAGGAGGAACAAUGCGGUUUUCUUCCCGGUCGUGGAACAUUGGACCAGCUUUAUACCCUCGCCGGGGUGCUGGAGGGUUCAUGGGAGUUUGCCCAACCAAUCCACAUGUGUUUUGUGGAUUUGGAGAAGGCAUUCGACCGUGUCCCUUACGGCAUCCUGCGGGGGGUGCUCCAGGAGUAUGGGGUCAGGGUCCUCUGUUAAGGGCUGUCCGGUCCCUGUAUGACUGGAGCAGGAGCUUGGUUCGCAUUGCCGGCAGUAAGUCAGACUUGUUCCAGGUAAAUGUUGGACUCCGGCAGGGCUGCCCUUUAUCACCGGUCCUGUUCAUUAUUUUUAUGGACAGGAUUUCUAGGUGCAGCCAGGGGCCGGAGUGUGUCCGGUUUGGAGACCACAUGAUUUUGUCUUUGCUUUUUGCAGAUGAUGUUGUCAAGUUGGUUUCAUCAGGCCAGGACCUUCAGCGUGUGCUGGGACGGUUUGCAGCCGAGUGUGAAGCAGCUGGGUUGAGAAUCAGCACCUCCAAGUCCGAGGCCAUGGUUCUCAGCCGGAAAAGGGUGGCUUGUCCCCUUCAGGUUGGUGGAGAGCUCCUGCCUCAAGUGGAGGAGUUCAAGUAUCUUGGGGUCUUGUUCACCAGUGAGGGAAGAAUGGAAAGGGGGAUUGACAGGCGGAUAGGUGCAGCUUCUGCAGUGAUGCGGUCGAUGUACCUGUCUGUCGUGGUAAAGAAGGAGCUGAGCUGCAAGGCAAAGAUCACGAUUUUCCAGUCGAUCUAUGUUCCUACUCUCACCCAUGGUCAUGAGCUGUGGGUCAUGACCAAAAGGAUAAGAUCCUGGAUACAGGCGGCCGAACCUUUCUCCAUAGGGUGGCUGGGCGCUCCCUUAGAGAUAGGGUGA